UGGGGAAUAUUGCGCAAUGGGCGAAAGCCUGACGCAGCGACGCCGCGUGAGGGAAGAAGGCUCUCGGGUCGUAAACCUCUGUCAGAAGGGAAGAACCCCCGGAAAAAGAUAACGUUUCCGGGCUGACGGUACCUUCAGAGGAAGCACCGGCUAAUUCCGUGCCAGCAGCCGCGGUAAUACGGAAGGUGCGAGCGUUAAUCGGAAUCACUGGGCGUAAAGCGCGCGUAGGCGGCCCUUUAAGUCGGACGUGAAAGCCCACGGCUCAACCGUGGAAUUGCGUUCGAUACUGGUGGGCUUGAGUCCUGGAGGGGGUGGCGGAAUUCCGGGUGUAGGAGUGAAAUCCGUAGAUAUCCGGAGGAACACCGGUGGCGAAGGCGGCCACCUGGACAGGUACUGACGCUGAGGUGCGAAAGCGUGGGGAGCAAACAGGAUUAGAUACCCCCGUAGUCC
This 450-nucleotide ribosomal RNA is filed under the name uncultured prokaryote. Its description in RNAcentral is "partial 16S ribosomal RNA". It matches the Rfam family "Bacterial small subunit ribosomal RNA", at positions 355 to 796 of the family's 1533-position model. The record is from RNAcentral.